RNAcentral lists this microRNA precursor (98 nucleotides) under Camelus bactrianus (Bactrian camel). RNAcentral describes it as "mir-544 microRNA precursor family". It matches the Rfam family "mir-544 microRNA precursor family". The record is from Rfam by way of RNAcentral. Lineage: Eukaryota; Metazoa; Chordata; Mammalia; Artiodactyla; Camelidae. RNAcentral also lists the same sequence under 2 other names.
AUCACCUGGAGAUCUUGUCAAAGUGCAGACUCUGAAUCCGUAAGUCCGAGGUAGGGCCUAGGAUUCUGCAUUUCAAACAAGCUCCCAAGUGAUGCUAU